UACGUAGGGGGCAAGCGUUGUCCGGAAUCAUUGGGCGUAAAGAGCGUGUAGGCGGCCAGAUAAGUCCGCUGUGAAAUCUCGAGGCUCAACUUCGAGCUGUCGGUGGAAACUGUCUGGCUAGAGUCCGGAAGAGGAGAAUGGAAUUCCUGGUGUAGCGGUGAAAUGCGCAGAUAUCAGGAAGAACACCCGUGGCGAAGGCGGUUCUCUGGGCCGGUACUGACGCUGAGGAGCGAAAGCGUGGGGAGCAAACAGG
RNAcentral lists this ribosomal RNA (253 nucleotides) under uncultured bacterium. RNAcentral describes it as "partial 16S ribosomal RNA". It matches the Rfam family "Bacterial small subunit ribosomal RNA", at positions 524 to 776 of the family's 1533-position model. The record is from RNAcentral.